RNA transcript from Populus nigra (black poplar), 3907 nucleotides. It is a transcript of the gene named N-terminal acetyltransferase B complex auxiliary subunit NAA25, with no coding region annotated. The record is from RefSeq and is a predicted model, not a curated record. The transcript has 20 exons. NCBI's taxonomy places the organism in Eukaryota, Viridiplantae, Streptophyta, Magnoliopsida, Malpighiales, Salicaceae.
AUCCUCCAAACAGAAACCAAAAAAGUCAGUUAGCUGAUCUCUUACACAGAGAGAAAGAAAUAUUUGAAACCCUAGCUAAUAAACCCUAUUUUUUUCGAGAAAAGAGAAAAAGCUUCAAUGGCAUCGAAGUUUGGGUUAGCCGGAGGGAUACCGGAACGGCGAGUGAGACCGAUUUGGGAUGCAAUCGAUUCUCGUCAGUUCAAGAAUGCGCUUAAACACUCCACUUCACUCCUCGCUAAAUGCCCUAAUUCACCUUACGCACUCGCGCUAAAAUCACUCAUCUUGGAAAGGAUGGGUAAAUCUGAUGAGGCAUUAUCAGUUUGCUUAAAUGCAAAGGAGCUUUUAUACAAGAAUGAUUCCUUGUUAAUGGAUGAUCUAACUCUCAGUACAUUGCAGAUUGUUUUUCAACGGCUUGAUCGCUUGGAUUUGGCUACUGGAUGCUAUGAGUAUGCUUGCAGUAAAUUUCCAAGCAAUUUGGAACUAAUGAUGGGACUUUUCAAUUGUUAUGUUCGUGAGUAUUCAUUUGUGAAGCAGCAGCAGACAGCCAUCAAAAUGUACAAGCUUGUUGGUGAAGAGAGGUUUUUGCUCUGGGCAGUUUGUAGCAUCCAAUUACAGGUAUUUUGUGGCAAUGGAGGAGAGAAACUAGCAAUGCUAGCUGAAGGGUUACUUAAGAAGCAUGUAGCUUCCCACAGCUUGCAUGAGCCUGAAGCUCUUAUGGUCUAUAUUUCCAUAUUAGAACAGCAAGAAAAGUAUGGUGAUGCAUUGGAAAUUCUCUCGGGGCAAUUGGGAUCACUAUUAAUGAUUGAAGUUGAUAAGCUACGUAUACAGGGGAGGCUUCUUGCUCGGUCAGGUGACUAUGCUACAAGUGCCAACAUAUAUCAGAAGAUUUUAGAACUAUGCCCUGAUGAUUGGGAGUGUUUCCUACAUUAUCUAGGCUGUUUGCUGGAGGAUGGCAGCAGCUGGAGCAAUGGAGCCAACAAUGAUCCAAUUAAUCCCCCAAAACCCGUGGAUUGCAAAGUCUCUCAAUUGGCAGAUGAUGUGUUUCAUUCUCGAAUAUCGACUUCAUUAGCUUUUGUGAAAAAAUUACAAGCAGACACCAGUAAUGAUUUUAUUAGGUGUCCAUACUUGGCAACUCUUGAAAUUGAGAGGAGGAAGCGAUUAUAUGGAAAGGGAAAUGAUGAUGAUAUUGUGGAGGCUCUAAUGCUAUAUUUCCUCAAGUUUGGUCACUUAGCAAGCUUCAGUUCUGAUGUUGAGGCAUUUCUGCAAGUCUUAACUCCAGAUAAAAAGACGGAGUUUCUUGCAAAGUUGAUAAAAACUUUGGACUCCUCUGCUACUGCACCAACUAAAGUGCUUGGACAAUCAAUCACCAUUUUCAAAAUUCAGGAGUUGACUGGGAACAUGUAUAAGCUCCCUGUGCUUGAACUUGAAGGCUGUGCCGUACAAAUGGUGGAGAUGUAUUGUAAAAGUCUUCCACUUUCAAAGGAUUUGGAUCCACAAGAGAGCAUGCAUGGUGAAGAGCUGCUAUCUAUGGUGUGCAAUGUGUUGGUUCAGCUAUUCUGGCGUACAAGACAUCUUGGCUACUUCAUCGAGGCAAUUAUGGUUUUGGAGUUUGGCCUGACUAUUCGAAGAUAUAUAUGGCAGUACAAGAUCUUGUUGCUGCACUUGUAUUCACACUUGGGUGCAAUUUCGUUAGCUUAUGAGUGGUAUAAAUCCUUGGACGUGAAGAAUAUUCUGAUGGAAACUGUUUCCCAUCACAUCUUGCCGCAGAUGUUGGUAUCUCCUCUUUGGGGGGAUUUAAAUAAUCUGCUGAAAGAUUAUCUCAGGUUUAUGGAUGACCACUUCAGGGAAUCUGCAGAUCUGACAUUCCUUGCUUAUCGCCACAGAAACUAUUCUAAAGUAAUAGAGUUUGUUCAAUUCAAGGAGCGAUUGCAACGAUCUAAUCAGUAUUUAGUUGCAAGGGUUGAGACACCCAUUCUACAGCUAAAACAAAAGGCAGAUAACAUUGAAGAAGAAGAGGGUGUUCUUGAAAACUUGAAUGGCGGGGUUCACUUUGUUGAGCUCUCCAAUGAGAUUGGAUCCAAAACCUUGACAUUCAAUGAAGAUUUCCAAUCACGGCCUUGGUGGACACCAACUACAGAGAAAAAUUAUCUCUUAGGUCCAUUUGAAGGAGUAUCAUAUUGUCCCAAGGAAAACUUGACAAAAGAAAGGGAAGAAAAUGUGCGGGGAGUUAUUGAAAAGAAAUCCCUUCUCCCUCGGAUGAUUUAUCUGUCUAUUCACAGUGCUUCAGCAUCACUUAAGGAGAGUGUUGAAGAAAAUGGGUCCAUAUCUGGGUCAAAAAUCUCCUCAGAGUUUAAGUUUUUGCUUGAGCGCCAUGCAAAGAUGUUAGGCUUUUCUUUAAGUGAUGCAGUUGAAGUGGUUAUGGGUGUUUCCAGUGGUGUAAAAUCCUUUGAGGCUUUUGGUUCAGACGAGAUUGACUGGAUAAACUUUGCUGUCUUUUUGAAUGCUUGGAAUUUGAAUUCCCACGAGCCAUUACAGCCAAAUGGAGAUCAGUGUGGCCGUGGUAUUUGGUACGUAGUGGAUACUUUGCUGGUGAAAUAUAUUUCAGAGAAGAUCAAAUCCAUGGAGUCUCUUAUUUGCUCUUCAAGGGUUGAUCUUCCAAUUUUAGUGCAAUUGGUUACAGAGCCAUUGGCCUGGCAUGGUCUUGUGAUUCAAUCUUGUGUUCGAUCUUCUCUUCCAUCUGGAAAGAAAAAGAAGAAAGGUGGGCCUGUGGACCAGCAUUCAUCUCUGGUGUUUAAUGACAUUAGGGAUUCAAUCCAGUCUUUAUGUGAUAUAGUCAAGGAGGUUGCAAAAUGGAUCAGAGGUCAGAUUGACAGACCAGAGGAUGAGAGUGUGGAAAUUAUACUUUCCUCUCUUAGGAAAAAGGAACAAGAUGAAGGGCCUGGGCGUGUUUUCCAUGUUCUGGAAAGUUUAAUUCCAUCAAUAAAUGAGGCUGAACUUGGUGAUCGGAUCUCCCAAGAAUUGAAGACAUGGAGUCCCCUUGAUGUUGCAAGGAAGAUAGUGACCGGGGACUCUACAUUAUUGUCCCAGUUUCUUAAUAUUUGCGAGUCAAAAAUCAAGUCAUUUCAGGCAUUGAAUCAGCAGAUAGCUCAAAUAUAAAGUGUGUUUUGCUUAAUGUGUUUCCCCUGAUCAGCAGGCAUUUUGCUUCAGCUUUGGGAGCUGCAUCUGAUCUGGAAUUACUGCGCUACUUUUCAGCAACAGAAAGAGUUGAAUGGAUUGUUCAAGCUCUGCACUGAUGCUCUAUUUGGACUUGUAGUUUACCAUGAGAUUUCCCUGCCAGAUUGUUGUCAGCCAGCCUCCAUCGUGGCCAGCCAGUUCUGUUUGAGCGGUUUUGGAAAUGUUGUGCCAGAUUUUCACAAUUUAUUUGGAUAUUCUUUCAAUUUUUACACAGAACAGGUGUCCCUGAUGAUGUAUUUUUCCAAAGAAUUUUGAGGGAGGGAGUUCAGGAAGACGACAAGAAGUUGCUCGAGCAGACUGGUCUGGCCUCUUAUUUCAAUUUUUUCACCUAAUAUAGUGGAAAAGGUACUUUAUGAAUUGAUCGGUGCCUUGAUUGAUGUUUAUAUAUAUAUAUAUAUAUAUAUAUAUAUAUAUAUAUAUAUAUAUAUAUAUAUAUAUAGUUGAUCUGUUUGACAAACAAGUAAGAACUACCGUAGGUAGGCUGUUUAAAAAUCGAAUGCUACUCCUUGACAAUCCAUGCUUUUUUCACCAAAGCCCUAUCUAUAGAGUGCGUGAUAGUCUUCCAAAAUCCUUUCAUUGAAAGUAAAUUUAGUUGGAUGUGUAUCUCAUGUAUUACGUAAGUGGGAUUUAAUUAAUGAAUAUUUAUUAAUUUAAUUGUUAAUAUUUUUUGGUA